RNA transcript from Branchiostoma belcheri (Belcher's lancelet), 5983 nucleotides. It is a transcript of the gene named myosin-6-like, with no coding region annotated. The transcript has 43 exons. The record is from RefSeq and is a predicted model, not a curated record. Lineage: Eukaryota; Metazoa; Chordata; Leptocardii; Amphioxiformes; Branchiostomatidae.
AAAGCUGUGCAGCGUACCUUUCCAGGAAUCUAUUCCUUGUGUCUCUGGGAAUUUGCUUCCUAAGUCGCCCGCCUUGACCAGGAACUGCCAGCAGCCCUCCUGCAAUCAUGGCCAACCUUACAGCUGAUCCGUCCUACAUCUACCUCUGGGGAGAUGAGCAGAAGAUGCUCAAGAUCCGGAACGAGCCGUUUGACCCUAAGAAGGCGUGCUUUGUGCCGGACCCGGAGGAGGUGUUUGUUCGGGCGGAGAUCCAGUCCAUCAAGGACGACAUGGUCACUGUCAAGACAGCCAACGGCAAGACCCUGACGGUGAAAAAUGAGCAGACCCAGCAGAUGAACCCGCCGAAGUUCAACCUGAUGGAAGACAUGGCCAACAUGACGUACCUGAACGAGUCGUCUGUGCUCAACAACCUGCGCGAGCGCUACUACAACACCAUGAUCUACACGUACUCUGGUCUGUUCUGCGUGGUGAUCAACCCAUACCAGCGGCUGCCGAUCUACACGGACUGGGUGGUGAGCCAGUACAAGGGCAAGAGGAAGACUGAGAUGCCCCCUCAUCUGUUCGCCGUGGCAGACUCUGCCUACACCAACAUGCUGCAAGAGCACGAGAACCAGUCCAUGUUGAUCACUGGUGAGUCUGGUGCCGGUAAGACUGAGAACACCAAGAAGGUUAUCUCCUACUUCGCCCUGGUUGCUGCUCUGGGUGGCACCAAGCAAGUUGAGGAAGGAGGAAAGAAGAAGGCUACUCUGGAGGACCAGGUCGUGCAGACCAACCCUGUCCUCGAGGCCUUCGGUAACGCCAAGACCACCAGGAACAACAACUCCUCCCGUUUCGGUAAAUUCAUCCGUAUUCACUUUGGGUCCAACGGAAAGCUGGCCGGUGCCGACAUUGAGGGCUAUCUGCUGGAGAAGUCUCGUGUGAUCUCCCAGCUUCCUGCAGAGCGUGGGUACCACAUCUUCUACCAGCUGCUGUCCCAGGCCUUCCCACAAAACCUGGAGCAACUGCUUAUUGCCGGUCAUGGAGCUAAGGAGUUCAAGUUCCUGUCUAUCGGUGAAACGACGAUCCCGACCAUGGAUGACAUGGAGGAGAUGAAGCUCACAGAUGAGGCGUUUGAUGUGCUUGGCUUCACGCAGGACGAGAAGUUCGGCGUCUACCGUCUCACCGCCGGCAUCAUGCACUUCGGCAACAUGAAGUUCAAACAGAGGCCGCGCGAGGAGCAGGCAGAGUGCGACGGCACAGAGGCGUCAGAGAAGACGGCCCAUCUUUUCGGCAUACCGAGCUCCGAGCUGCAGAAGGGUCUGCUGAAGCCUCGAGUGAAGGUCGGUAACGAGUAUGUCACCAAGGGACAGAACUCGGACCAGUGCACCUACGCAGUGGGCGCCCUGGCCAAGGCCAUCUACAACAGGCUGUUCUUCUGGCAGAUCAAGCGUCUGAACAAGACACUGCUGUCACCUAUGCAGAGGUCCUACUUCAUUGGUGUGCUGGACAUCGCUGGCUUCGAGAUCUUUGAUUUCAACACCUUCGAGCAGCUGUGCAUCAACUUCACCAACGAGAAGCUGCAGCAGUUCUUCAACCACCACAUGUUCGUGCUGGAACAGGAGGAGUACAAGAAGGAAGGCAUUGAAUGGGAGUUCAUCGAUUUCGGUAUGGACUUGGAGGCCUGUAUCGCUCUCAUUGAGAAGCCUCUCGGCAUCCUGUCCAUCCUGGAGGAGGAGUGCAUGUUCCCCAAGGCCACGGACAAGUCCUUCAUGUCCAAGCUGUACGACAACCACCUGGGAAAGUCACCCAACUUCCAGAAGCCCAAGCCGUCCAAGUCCAAGUACGAGGCUCACUUCGCCCUGGCUCACUACGCUGGAACGGUGCCAUAUAACGUGGACCACUGGCUGGAGAAGAACAAGGAUCCCAUCAACGAGACGGUGGUGCAGUGCUUCCAGAAGUCAAACAUGGGCCUCAUGGUCAUGCUGUUUGAGGACUUUGUCACUGCUGAGUCAGCGGGCAAGGGUGGUGGUGGCAAGAAGGGCAAGAAGAGUGCUGCCUUCCAGACUGUGUCCUCUGUGCACAGGGAAUCACUGAACAAGCUGAUGACCACCCUGAGGAACACCUUCCCUCACUUCGUGCGCUGCAUCAUCCCCAACGAGAAGAAGGCAGCGGGAGUGAUUGACUCUGUGUUGGUGAUGCACCAGCUGACCUGUAACGGUGUACUUGAGGGCAUCCGUAUCUGUAGGAAGGGCUUCCCCAACAGGACUCCGUAUGCUGAGUUCAAGCAACGGUAAGUUACCAGAAGUUGUGCUACUAAUAGUAAACUUCUGUUUUGUUUUAAAGUCAGGUAAAUGGGUGCUGCCAUGUUGGUUGGUGACCCCAUGGGUUGACCAUAUAUACAUGUAUCUUGAUCUGUAGGAAGUAGGAAGUAUGUACUAGGAAGUAGUAGGAAUUACAUGUGUGUAGAAAAUGUUCGAGAUGACCGUUUGGGCCAGAUCAUCAAGAACAUCCAGGCGCGCGCUCGGGGCAGGCACAUGCGGGCCAAGUUUGUCGUCAUGGUGGAACAGAGGGAGGCCAUGCUUUGCCUGCAGCGUAACAUUCGCAAGUGGCUCGGUCUGCGCAACUGGAUGUGGUGGAAGCUGUACACUAAGGUCAAGCCCCUGCUGCAGGGUGCCCGUGCCGAGGAGGAGAUGAAGAAGAAGCUGGAGGAGCUCGAGCUGAUCGUGGAGAAGGCUGAGAAGGAGGAGAAGCUGCGGAAGGAGCUGGAGCAGAAGCUCAACUCCCUCACCAACGAGAAGAACGACCUCGUCAUCCAGCUUCAAGCCGAGCAAGACGUUGUUGCUGACUCUGAGGAGAGGAACGCCAUGCUGAUCAAGAGCAAGGCUGACCUGGACGCGCAGCUGGAGGAGGUCAAGGAGAACCUGGAGGAGGCAGAAGAGAACAACCAGCAGCUCAACCACACCCGCCGCAAGCUGGAGAACGAGGUGAGUGAGCUGAAGAAGGAUGUUGAGGAUCUGGAGAGGAACCUCGCCCGGUCGGAGAAGGACAAGCGAGCGGUGGAGGACAAGGUUCGAGUGAUGGGAGAAGAGAUCGCCGACAUGGACAACACCAUCAAACGCCUCACCCGCGAGAAGAAGAAACUCGAGGAAAUCCAAGCUCAAACUCUGGAUGACCUUCAGUCGGAGGAAGACAAGACGAACCACCUGAACAAGCUCAAGGUCAAGCUGGAGCAGCAGAUAGAAGAGCUCCAAGACAUGCUGGACGCGGAGAAGAAGGUCCGCUCGGAUGCUGAGAGGGCGAAGAAGAAGCUGGAGGCUGACCUGAAGCAGAGUCUGGACAGCUUAGGGGAGCUCGAGAGGCUCAAGGUGGAGCAUGAAGAGAAGCUCAAGAAGCGCGACUUCGAGCUGAGUGCCGUGCAGAACAGGCUGGAGGAUGAGCUGAGCAUGGUCGCACAGCUGCAGAAGAAGAUCAAGGAGCUCACGGGUCGCACAGAAGAGCUGGAAGAGGAACUUGAAAACGAGAGGAAUGCCAGGGCCAAGGUGGAGAAGUCUCGCAACGACAUCUCGCGAGAGCUGGAUGACCUGGGUGACCGUCUGGAGGAGAGUACCGGACAGACUGUGGCACAGGUUGAGCUGAACAAGAAGCGCGAGGCCGAGCUGGUGAAGAUCCGGCAGGACUUCGAGGAGAUGAAGAUCGCUAACGAGGCCCAGCUGGCAGCCAUGCGGAAGAAAACCGCAGACAGCUUCACGGAGAUGAGCCAGCAGAUCGAGAACCUUCAGCGCGCCAAGGCCAAACUCGAGAAGGACAAGAACACCCUGCGCCUGGAGGUCGACGACCUGUCAGGCAACCUGGAACAACUCACCAAGCAGAAGGUGAACUUCGAGAAGCUGAACCGUAACCUGGAAGAAAACCUGAACGAGGCAAACAUCAAGGUGGACGAACAGAACCGCCAACUGCAGGAGUUCUCUGCCAUGAAGAGCCGCAUGCUGGCCGAGCACAAUGACGUUGUGAGAAACCUGGAGGAGGCUGAGAGCCAGAAUAACCAGCUUAGCAGGACCAAGAGCAUGCUGAUGCAGCAAAUUGAAGAGCUGAAGCGCCAGCUCGAGGAGGAGACCAAGGCCAAGAACCACCUGUCCCACCAGCUGCGUGCCUCCCAGCACGACUGCGACACCUACCGCGAACAGCUGGAGGAGGAGCAGGAGGCCAAGUCCGAGAUGCAGCGCGCCCUCUCCAAAGCGCACACCGAAGUCGCGGCCUGGAGGACCAAGUACGAGACGGAUGCCAUCCAGAGGACGGAGGAGCUGGAGGAGGCUAAGAAGAAGCUGGCACAGCGUCUUCAGGAGGCCGAGGAGAAGGUGGAGAUCUCCAACUCCAGGUGCAGCAGCUUGGAGAAGACCAAGAACAGACUGGCAGCUGAGAACGAGGACCUGAUGAUUGACGUGGAGAAGGCGAACAGCAUCGCGGCGCAGCUGGAGAAGAAGCAGCGCAUGUUCGACAAGAUCGUGUCGGACUGGAGGGUCAAGUGCGAGGAGAUGGGCGUGGAGAUGGAGGAGCUCACCAAGGAGAACAGGACCCUCAACAACGAGCUCAUGAAGCUCAAGACGGCCUACGAGGAGUCCUUCGGCGCUCUAGAGGAGCUGAAGAAGGAGAACAAGACCCUUAAUGACGAAGUCCACGAGAUCAGCGACCACCUGGCAGAGUCGGCCAAGCACCUUCACGAGAUGGAGAAGACGAAGAAGCGUCUGGAGGUGGAGAAGGAGGAGAUGCACACGGCUCUGGAGGAGGCUGAGGGUGCCCUGGAGGUGGAGGAGGGCAAGGUCCUGCGGCUGAACCUGGAGCUGAGCCAGGUGAAGUCUGACAUCGACAGGAGGCUGGCCGAGAAGGAGGAGGAGUUUGAAACAACACGCAAGAACCAUGCGAGAUCCAUCGAGAGCCUGACGACGUCCCUGGAGGUGGAGAGCAAGGGUCGCGCCGAGGCCAUCCGGCAGAAGAAGAAGAUCGAGGCCGACCUGAAUGAGGUCGAAGUUCAGCUGGACACAGCGAACAAGGCCAACUCCGAGGCCAGGAAGCUGCUGGCCAAGUACACCAACCAGCUGCAGGAGAUGCAGGUCGCUCUAGACGAUGAGCAGCGUGCUAAGGAGGAGCUUCGCGAGCGCUGCAGCACGGCCGAGCGCCGCGUGAACAUGUACACCUCCGAGCUGAAUGAGCUUCGCGCACAGAUGGAGAUCGCCGAGAGGAACCGCAAGAUCUGCGAGGCUGAAGUCAUGGAGGCCACCGAGAGGCUGAAUGAGCUGAGUACCCAGAACGCGGCUCUGUCGGCCCACAAGCGGAAGCUGGAGGGAGAGCUGCAGCAGAUGGGCAACGAGCUGGAGGAGACACAGAACGAUGCCAGGCAGACAGAGGAGAAGGCCAAGAAGGCCAUGGCAGAUGCCAGCCGCAUGGCGGACGAGCUGAGGCAGGAGUCGGACAAGGUCACCCACCUGGAGAAGGUCAAGAAGAACCUGGAGGAGAACAUCCGAGACUUCCAGCGCCGCCUGGACGAGGCCGAGACCAUCGCACUGAAGGGCGGGAAACGUCACCUGCAGAAGCUCGAGACUAGGCUCCACGACCUGGAGGCAGAGCUGGACGCUGAGCAGAGGCGCCACCAGGACACCUUAAAGAACCUGCGUAAGAACGAGCGCCGUCUCAAGGAGAUGACCUUCCAGUCGGACGAGGACCGCAAGAACCAGGAGCGCCUCCAGGAGCUGGUGGAGAAACUGCAGCUCAAGAUCAAGACCUACAAGAGGCAGUCCGAGGAAUCGGAGGAGAACGCGAAUGUGAACCUGGCGAAGUUCCGUAAGGUUCAGCACCAGCUGGAGGAUGCCGAGGAGCGCGCCGACAUCGCUGAGAGCGCCCUGGCCAAGCUGCGCGCCAAGUACCACAGCGGCAACCCCACCGCAGGGACCAAGAAGUCCAAGCAGGAGGACUAGAGAACAUGAUGUCAUCUUUCUUCACAAUCGACGGU